AGAGUUUGAUCCUGGCUCAGAACGAACGCUGGCGGCGUGCCUAAUACAUGCAAGUCGAGCGCGGGAAGCAAGUGAUCGCCCUUCGGGGCGUGAACUUGUGGAACGAGCGGCGGACGGGUGAGUAACACGUGGGCAACCUGCCUGUAAGACUGGGAUAACUCGCGGAAACGUGAGCUAAUACCGGAUAAUACCUUUUAUCUCAUGAUGAGAGGUUGAAAGGCGGCUUUUAGCUGUCACUUACAGAUGGGCCCGCGGCGCAUUAGCUAGUUGGUGAGGUAACGGCUCACCAAGGC
This 293-nucleotide ribosomal RNA is filed under the name uncultured bacterium. RNAcentral describes it as "partial 16S ribosomal RNA". It matches the Rfam family "Bacterial small subunit ribosomal RNA", at positions 8 to 274 of the family's 1533-position model. The record is from RNAcentral.